GACGAACGCUGGCGGCGCGCCUAACACAUGCAAGUCGAACGAGCGAGAGAGAGCUUGCUUUCUCGAGCGAGUGGCGAACGGGUGAGUAACGCGUGAGGAACCUGCCUCAAAGAGGGGGACAACAGUUGGAAACGACUGCUAAUACCGCAUAAGCCCACGGUGCCGCUUGGCACAGAGGGAAAAGGAGCAAUCCGCUUUGAGAUGGCCUCGCGUCCGAUUAGCUAGUUGGUGAGGUAAUGGCCCACCAAGGCGACGAUCGGUAGCCGGACUGAGAGGUUGAACGGCCACAUUGGGACUGAGACACGGCCCAGACUCCUACGGGAGGCAGCAGUGGGGAAUAUUGCACAAUGGGGGAAACCCUGAUGCAGCGACGCCGCGUGGAGGAAGAAGGUCUUCGGAUUGUAAACUCCUGUUGUUGGGGAAGAUAAUGACGGUACCCAACAAGGAAGUGACGGCUAACUACGUG
RNAcentral lists this ribosomal RNA (466 nucleotides) under uncultured bacterium. Its description in RNAcentral is "partial 16S ribosomal RNA". It matches the Rfam family "Bacterial small subunit ribosomal RNA", at positions 28 to 507 of the family's 1533-position model. The record is from RNAcentral.